This 530-nucleotide ribosomal RNA is filed under the name Klebsiella pneumoniae IS33. Its description in RNAcentral is "LSU rRNA". It matches the Rfam family "Bacterial large subunit ribosomal RNA", at positions 96 to 671 of the family's 2925-position model. Lineage: Bacteria; Pseudomonadati; Pseudomonadota; Gammaproteobacteria; Enterobacterales; Enterobacteriaceae. The record is from RNAcentral.
CGUUAUAACCGGCGAUGUCCGAAUGGGGAAACCCAGUGCAAUUCGUUGCACUAUCGUUAACUGAAUACAUAGGUUAACGAGGCGAACCGGGGGAACUGAAACAUCUAAGUACCCCGAGGAAAAGAAAUCAACCGAGAUUCCCCCAGUAGCGGCGAGCGAACGGGGAGCAGCCCAGAGUCUGAAUCAGCUUGUGUGUUAGUGGAACGGUCUGGAAAGUCCGACGGUACAGGGUGAUAGUCCCGUACACCAAAAUGCACAGGCUGUGAACUCGAAGAGUAGGGCGGGACACGUGGUAUCCUGUCUGAAUAUGGGGGGACCAUCCUCCAAGGCUAAAUACUCCUGACUGACCGAUAGUGAACCAGUACCGUGAGGGAAAGGCGAAAAGAACCCCGGCGAGGGGAGUGAAAAAGAACCUGAAACCGUGUACGUACAAGCAGUGGGAGCACCUUCGGGUGUGACUGCGUACCUUUUGUAUAAUGGGUCAGCGACUUAUAUUCUGUAGCAAGGUUAACCGUAUAGGGGAGCCGCAG